This is a long non-coding RNA of Setaria italica (foxtail millet), 617 nucleotides long. RefSeq lists it as uncharacterized. The transcript has 3 exons. Lineage: Eukaryota; Viridiplantae; Streptophyta; Magnoliopsida; Poales; Poaceae. The record is from RefSeq and is a predicted model, not a curated record.
UCAUCACCAACCUCCGGCCGAAUCCAGCUCUCGCACGCCCCUUCCUCCGCAACGACCGCGCCGCGAAUCCCGCGCCCGAGCUCAAGUCCGAGCCGGACUCUCCUCCGACUCCCGCGUGGGCCCGCACUCCUGUCCGCACUAUUUAAGGCCCCCGCCGUCGCCCGAGGUCGUCACGAACCCUAGCUUGAGCUCCCCUGCGCCGCCGCCAUUGACGCCGCAGCUCCACCGCCUUCGCUCGUCCGCCGCCAGGAGCGCCCCCGGAACCAAAUCGAAGCCACCCUCGGGUUUCCCCUCGCCGAGACGCGUUCGUUCCGCCGGUCUUCUUCGCCAUCUCAUCACCGGAACGCCGCCGGCGUGGAGUCCGAGCCGCCCGCCGCCCGCUUCCUGUCCGUUUCCGGCCGCCGUUGUUCAUCUCCGUCGUAGAUCUAACCCCGAGUUUUCAGCUUUUCGCGGGCUCUGUUCUCUGUGUCUUGAAGAAUCGUUGUUCAAAAGCUUUGAAGAUUAAAAGUUUCAAGAUAACAAGAGCCAAAGAGCAGUAAGAGUAACUUUUCGUUGGAGAAAGGCAAGUAUCCCUAACCAUACUUCUAUCUAUGCUUAUUCAUAAGAAUAUCUUGCAU